UGGCUCAGGAUGAACGCUGGCGGCGUGCCUAACACAUGCAAGUCGAGCGAUUCUCUUCGGAGAAGAGCGGCGGACGGGUGAGUAACGCGUGGGUAACCUGCCCUGUACACACGGAUAACAUACCGAAAGGUAUGCUAAUACGAGAUAAUAUACUUUUAUCGCAUGGUAGAAGUAUCAAAGCUUUUGCGGUACAGGAUGGACCCGCGUCUGAUUAGCUAGUUGGUAAGGUAACGGCUUACCAAGGCGACGAUCAGUAGCCGACCUGAGAGGGUGAUCGGCCACAUUGGAACUGAGACACGGUCCAAACUCCUACGGGAGGCAGCAGUGGGGAAUAUUGCACAAUGGGCGAAAGCCUGAUGCAGCAACGCCGCGUGAGCGAUGAAGGCCUUCGGGUCGUAAAGCUCUGUCCUCAAGGAAGAUAAUGACGGUACUUGAGGAGGAAGCCCCGGCUAACUACGUGCCAGCAGCCGCGGUAAUACGUAGGGGGCUAGCGUUAUCCGGAAUUACUGGGCGUAAAGGGUGCGUAGGUGGUUUCUUAAGUCAGAGGUGAAAGGCUACGGCUCAACCGUAGUAAGCCUUUGAAACUGGGAAACUUGAGUGCAGGAGAGGAGAGUGGAAUUCCUAGUGUAGCGGUGAAAUGCGUAGAUAUUAGGAGGAACACCAGUUGCGAAGGCGGCUCUCUGGACUGUAACUGACACUGAGGCACGAAAGCGUGGGGAGCAAACAGGAUUAGAUACCCUGGUAGUCCACGCCGUAAACGAUGAGUACUAGCUGUCGGAGGUUACCCCCUUCGGUGGCGCAGCUAACGCAUUAAGUACUCCGCCUGGGAAGUACGCUCGCAAGAGUGAAACUCAAAGGAAUUGACG
RNAcentral lists this ribosomal RNA (866 nucleotides) under uncultured bacterium. Its description in RNAcentral is "bacterial SSU rRNA". It matches the Rfam family "Bacterial small subunit ribosomal RNA", at positions 20 to 915 of the family's 1533-position model. The record is from RNAcentral.